Molecule: ribosomal RNA, 581 nt
Filed under: uncultured archaeon
Lineage: Archaea
Description: bacterial SSU rRNA
Rfam family: Archaeal small subunit ribosomal RNA
Source: RNAcentral
ACUGGGAUAACCCUGGGAAACUGGGGAUAAUACCGGAUAGGCAAUCUUCCUGGAAUGGUUUUUUGUUUAAAUGUUUUUCGCCUAAGGAUGGGUCUGCGGCCGAUUAGGUAGUUGGUUAGGUAACGGCUUACCAAGCCAUUGAUCGGUACGGGUUGUGAGAGCAAGAGCCCGGAGAUGGAACCUGAGACAAGGUUCCAGGCCCUACGGGGUGCAGCAGGCGCGAAACCUCCGCAAUGUGAGAAAUCGCGACGGGGGGAUCCCAAGUGCCAUUCUUAACGGGAUGGCUUUUCAUUAGUGUAAAGAGCUUUUGGAAUAAGGGCUGGGCAAGACCGGUGCCAGCCGCCGCGGUAACACCGGCAGCUCUAGUGGUAGCAGUUUUUAUUGGGCCUAAAGCGUCCGUAGCCGGUUUAAUAAGUCUCUGGUGAAAUCCUGUAGCUUAACUGUGGGAAUUGCUGGAGAUACUAUUAGACUUGAGACCGGGAGAGGUUAGAGGUACUCCCAGGGUAGAGGUGAAAUUCUGUAAUCCUGGGAGGACCGCCUGUUGCGAAGGCGUCUAACUGGAACGGUUCUGACGGUGAGGG